RNAcentral lists this ribosomal RNA (440 nucleotides) under uncultured bacterium. RNAcentral's name for it is "partial 16S ribosomal RNA". It matches the Rfam family "Bacterial small subunit ribosomal RNA", at positions 338 to 795 of the family's 1533-position model. The record is from RNAcentral.
CCUACGGGUGGCAGCAGUGAGGAAUAUUGCACAAUGGACGAAACUCUGAACCAGCCACGCCGCGUGCGUGAAGAAGUAUUUCGGUAUGUAAAGCUCCAUCAGCAGGGAAGAAAAUGCAGGUACCUGAUUAAGAAGCACCGGAUAACUAAGUGCCAGAACCGGUGGGAAUACGGAGGCAGCAAGGGUUAUCCGGAUUUACUGGGCUUAAAGGGAGCGUAGUGGGCAGUACAAGUUAGGAGUGAAAUGCCGGGGCUUAACCCCGGAACUGCUUUUGAAACUGUGCAGCUAGAGUGCAGGAGAGGUAAGUGGAAUGCCUGGUGUAGCGGUGAAAUGCGUAGAUAUCAGGCAGAACACCGGUUGCGAAGGCAGCUUACUGGACUGUAACUGACGUUGAGGCACGAAAGCGUGGGGAGCAAACAGGAUUAGAUACCCCAGUAGUC